Molecule: ribosomal RNA, 500 nt
Filed under: uncultured bacterium
Lineage: Bacteria
Description: partial 16S ribosomal RNA
Rfam family: Bacterial small subunit ribosomal RNA
Source: RNAcentral
AUUGAACGCUGGCGGCAUGCCUUACACAUGCAAGUCGAACGGCAGCACGGGAGCAAUCCUGGUGGCGAGUGGCGAACGGGUGAGUAAAGUAUCGGAACGUGCCCAGUCGUGGGGGAUAACGUAGCGAGAGUUACGCUAAUACCGCAUACGAUCUAUGGAUGAAAGCGGGGGAUCGCAAGACCUCGCGCGAUUGGAGCGGCCGAUAUCAGAUUAGGUAGUUGGUGGGGUAAAGGCUCACCAAGCCGACGAUCUGUAGCUGGUUUGAGAGGACGACCAGCCACACUGGGACUGAUACACGGCCCAAACUCCUACGGGAGGCAGCAGUGGGGAAUGUUGGACAAUGGGCGAAAGCCUGAUCCAGCCAUGCCGCGUGCAGGAUGAAGGCCUUCGGGUUGUAAACUGCUUUUGUACGGAACGAAAAGGUUUGGCCUAAUAAGCUGAGCUCAUGACGGUACCGUAAGAAUAAGCACCGGCUAACUACGUGCCAGCCGCCGCAGUAA